CCUACGGGAGGCAGCAGUGGGGAAUAUUGGACAAUGGGCGCAAGCCUGAUCCAGCAAUGCCGCGUGAGUGAUGAAGGCCUUAGGGUCGUAAAGCUCUUUUACCAGGGAUGAUAAUGACAGUACCUGGAGAAUAAGCUCCGGCUAACUCCGUGCCAGCAGCCGCGGUAAUACGGAGGGAGCUAGCGUUGUUCGGAAUUACUGGGCGUAAAGCGUACGUAGGCGGUUAUUCAAGUCAGAGGUGAAAGCCCGGGGCUCAACCCCGGAACGGCCUUUGAAACUAGGUAGCUAGAAUCUUGGAGAGGUCAGUGGAAUUCCGAGUGUAGAGGUGAAAUUCGUAGAUAUUCGGAAGAACACCAGUGGCGAAGGCGACUGACUGGACAAGUAUUGACGCUGAGGUACGAAAGCGUGGGGAGCAAACAGGAUUAGAUACCCUGGUAGUCCACGCCGUAAACGAUGAUAACUAGCUGUUCGGGCACUUGGUGCUUGAGUGGCGCAGCUAACGCAUUAAGUUAUCCGCCUGGGGAGUACGGUCGCAAGAUUAAAACUUAAAUGAAUUGAACGG
RNAcentral lists this ribosomal RNA (562 nucleotides) under uncultured bacterium. RNAcentral describes it as "bacterial SSU rRNA". It matches the Rfam family "Bacterial small subunit ribosomal RNA", at positions 338 to 917 of the family's 1533-position model. The record is from RNAcentral.